CCGGCUGAGUCAGCAGCGGCAACCCGCUAGGGUCCCUUUCCAUGUUGUGGAAGCUUUUUUCUUUCGCUCUUCACAAUAAAUCUUGUUGCUGCCCACUCUUUGGGUCCAUGCCAGCUUUUAUGAGCUGUAACACUCACCUCGAAGGUCUGCAGCUUCACUCCUGAAGUCAGCCAACCACAAACCCGCCAGAAGGAAGAAACUCCAGACACGUCCGAACAUGGGAAGGAACAAACUCUAGACACACCAUCUUUAAGAACUGUAACACUCACCACCAGGGUCCGCGGCUUCAUUCUUGAAGUCAGCGAGACCAAGAACCCACCAAUUCCGGACGCAAGCUGGUUAUUUUGAGAAACUCCAGACACAGGAGUAGCUCUGAAAACAAGGAUGAAGGUUGCCCUUUGGUAAGGGAAAUUUACAUCUAUGAAGAAAAUAUCUGGGGGGUGUCUCCUCUGCACCGGGAAGAGAGGGAUGACUAAACCACUAGAGGCUCUUAACGGAGAAAGGCUGUGAAGCUGAGAGCUGGAUAUAUAUAAAGUUUAGAGCUGCUGUAACCCUCUUGCAAUCUCAGAGGAGCUCCUGGAAUUGCAAGAUAGACUGCAUGGAGCCUGAAGAUGAAGCCCUCAUAGCAAGAGGCGGAGUGAAGAGACAGAGAAAUGGAGUCAUUAAGGACAUUGGUUAAGUCCUUGUUUUCAGUAGUGCCUGUAAUCAGCCAUUCUGGUGGAUUUUUCAGUUACUUGACUUUAAUAAUAAACAGUUGCGCUGUAAUCAUAAAUACCUCCUAAAUGCUCACGUGCUUACAACAACAAAAAUUAUCUCUUGCUGAUGCUACAUGGGCUACCUGCAGCGCUGCUUUAUUGUUGUUUUUAAUCUGGGACUCAGUAAAAUAGAGCAGUCUCUCUCUAGAAAAUCACCUGUUGUAACGGAGGAAAAGAAAAGUAGGAAAAGAAGUGCUCGCUCUAAACUAUCUGCCUGAAGUUGCUUGCUUCCCACUUGCAUAUAAUUGGCCAGAACAAAUCACAUGGUCAAGAUUGAUGUCACAGGGUGGAGAGGGGCAGCAAAGUUUUUUGAAAAAUAAUAAUGCAAUCUACAAGUAAAUUUCCCU
This 1102-nucleotide long non-coding RNA is filed under the name Homo sapiens (human). Its description in RNAcentral is "HSALNT0074821". The record is from RNAcentral. Lineage: Eukaryota; Metazoa; Chordata; Mammalia; Primates; Hominidae.